Long non-coding RNA from Mercurialis annua (annual mercury), 2842 nucleotides. RefSeq lists it as uncharacterized. The record is from RefSeq and is a predicted model, not a curated record. NCBI's taxonomy places the organism in Eukaryota, Viridiplantae, Streptophyta, Magnoliopsida, Malpighiales, Euphorbiaceae. The transcript has 8 exons.
GAAUCUAACAGCUGUUUGGAGAUAUGUGGGAGAUUGAAAAAUGGGUUUGCUUGUAUCUACCACUUUGAAAUUUAGAGUUUUUUUUCUUUUUGAUCUUUGGUUAUUGGGUGUUCUGUUUCUACUUGUUUUUGUUUAAUGGUUAUUUGAUUUUCCAAAUCAUAUCUCAGUUGAUCAUGUGAAGAAUGCCAUAUAUUUAGUAAUUUGGAUCUUGAAUCGGUUGAAAUGAGAGAUUGUGGAUAAGGAACAUAAGAGACUUCUUGCUCGUAAAUCAAUUAUUGAGAAGAGGAAGGAAGAAGAAGAAUGCCAACUACUGGAAAUGGUACGAGGAGAGCUGUCAAGGAGGUUGCAACAACAGAAGAAAAGAGAAGAAGCAGAGCAGAAGAGGCAUGCUUUUGAACUUGAGCGAAGGAAGAAGAACGAAAGGAUCCUUCAAGAAAUAUUAUAGGUUUGCUAGAGGAGAGAAGAGGUAAGAGAGAAGAGGUAGCUCCACUAAUAUUAACUUCCUUUCAAAAGCGAUUAGUGGAAGAGACGGCCCUUCAUGAAUGUGAGCAGCAACUAGAGGCUGAACUGAGGAGACAAUGUCAUGAUGGGGACCUCAAAAGAGAGAAAUAGGUUGUCUCGGAUGCUUGAAUACAAGAUAAUUUUCCAAGAGUUUUGGGAAAGGUCGGAUAUAGUAAUAAAUUAGAUCAUUCAUGCUCGGAAGCAAGAGAGGGAGGUCACGAGAAAGAAAAUUUAUUAUGUGAAGUGGGAAGAGGAGAGGCUGAGAAAGCUGCAUGGUUGGAAUCCUGGAAGCAUGAAGAGGCUGAGAGACUAAGUAAAGUAGAAGCAGAACACGCGGCAAAAGCAGAUGAGAGACAGAGGCAAAGAAAGAGAGGGAGAGAGAUGAAGUGUGCAGCAUUCAGGCAUUAUGAAUUGUUCGCUUUAUAUUUAUUUGCCAGCUUCCACGCACUAAGUCUUUAAACAACUAACUUAUUAGAUUCUUAUUUGAUGCUCGAAAAGAUUUCUAGAAUAAAUCUGAGUUCGAAACAAAUCCUUGACACCUAUUCAGAUCUCAAGUUUUUAUGUUCUGUACCAGGCAACCAAGAGGGGCUUCAAAGAUAUUGCUCAGAGCAUAAGAUUAAACUAUCAAAGAUUGAUAGUUUAUGUCUUUCUCGCAUUUGCUAGAGACAGUAGGUGAACUUCCCCGUUUUUUCCUAUGCCUUAACCGAACUGAGUAUUGACGAUGUGUCAUUAUCUUACAUUGUCUACUACAUAGUAUUAGUAGUUGGUUAAUGGUUUUAAUCUUCAUGUCAGGAACAAACACAAAGAUAGUGCUCACUCUUUUUUCUUUUUAAAUUUAAAUUAUAUACUUUUAAUUUAUAAUUGUGAAGUUUUAUCGUUAUUGAAUUGCCACAUAUUCAUAUAGUGUCCAUUCUACACCAAGAAAUGAGCACAUGCUAGUUAAAAAUAGCAACUAAUAACUCAAAGGCAGUAUAACUAAAAAAAAAAAAAAACUAAAUAGUCAUAAAUUAGGGUUUAACUUGAUUUUACCCUAGUUGUACAAAAUUUAUAACUAAGGAUGCAAAUUUUGAAAAAGCUUUCACCAUUUAACUAAAUAGUCAUAAAUUACUGGCAAAUAUAUAAUUAACAAAAAUCGAGAUAUGUAUAGGGUUAGGAUUAGGGUUUAAGGUUAAUAUGUUUAGGUUUAGUAUAAGAUUAGGGUUUAGUAUAUUUAGGAUUAGGGUAGUAUAUUUAGGAUUAGGGUUUAAUGUUAGUAUAUUUAGGAUUAGUGUUUAAGAUUUAAGGUAUUAGGGUUUAGUAUAUUAGGAUUAGAGCUUAGCAUAUAUUAGGAUUAGGAUUAGCCCGACGUAAAUUGAACUUUUCCCAACUGUCAUCCCUUUUUUUGUGCAGUUACUGCCUUUGAAUUAUUAGUGGCUGUUUCUAUUUUUUUUUAGCAACAAUCAACAGAUACGAUAAUAUAUAAAUCGAGCAUCAUAGAGAGCUACAUAAUAUAUUUAUCCCAAAUUCAUUUCAAGAUCACUUUCUCCAAGUAAAUUCGUGAAAUAACUGGAAGCCAAUUUUCUCAAUCUAAAUGGAUAUUAUGUGAACAGGGGGAAAAUACAGCUACGGAUGGUGCAAAGGUAUUGCAUUCUGUUAUGACAUCUAAUUUCAUUGAAGAUGCAAAUGUGAAGCUUAUUAUCCUCCGGAUCAACAAGUGUCUUCUGAAGCAGAAUUACCAGUUGGGUCUCAGUCAGAUAAAGCUUCUGUUGAACCAUCCUUUAAUGAUCAUGAUGAUCCCAAGAUUUCUAGAAUAAAUCUGAGUUUGAAUCAAAUACUCGACACCUAUAUGAAGCAGCUGCAAUUCAGAUGCCACGUUUUAUGUUCUGUAUCAAGCAACCGAAAGUGGCUAUAGAAUUGCAACAAGGACUUUAAAUGCUGUAAUAAGGGUUCAUGAUGGUCGUGGAUCUGAUACAAUGCUGACUGAUAAAAUUUUGAAGGCACUCAACGAGGCUUCUCCCGAUGAACUCAUUGGGGACGACUGGUAAUUUAAGCAGUGUAAACGUCUCCAAAGCUCUAGACUAAUACGGAGCAUGAAUUCAGUUCAAAUCAGUCAGGCUGUCCAGGAUUCACAUGUGCAGUGAAGUAGCUUAUUGCGUGCUUCUUCACUCCAACAUGAUUUGGCUUCGUGGCAGCUCAGCUUAACCUGCUGUUAAAGGGUGUUUAGUUUUUUAGAGUUUGUUAGGGACGGUUAUUAUUUUUUUAUCUGUUUUUUCUAGCAUUGGCAGCAUGUAUAUAUACUAACCAUUUCAGUAAGUUAUAAUCACUGUUUUGCAAUCAAUGAAAACUUAGUUUCUUCUCUCAA